AUGGCCUGGGUCCCUCUCCUUCUUCAUCUUCUCUCUUUCUAUGCAGGUUCUGUGCAUUCCUAUGAGCUGACCCAACCACCUUCAGCAUCAGUCACUGUAGGAGAGACUGUCAAAAUCACUUGCUUUGUGGAUCAAUUGCCAAAAAAAUAUGCUCACUGGUUUCAGCAAAAGCCAGACCAGACCAUUUUGCCACUGAUAUAUGAAAAUAGUAAGCGACUGUCAGGGAUCCCUGACCGAUUCUCUAGGUCCAGUUCAGGGACAACAGCCACACUGACCAUCAGUGGAGUCCUAUCUGAUGAUGAGGCUGACUAUUACUGUUUGUCAUCAUACAGUGAUAGUAAUAGUGGUGCAAGACCCCUGAAGAGACCACCAGAGACACAACUUUCCAAAAUGAAAAAGCAAGGUUUCUUGAAGCAGUUCAAGCAGCUGCAGGGACCUUAUUCAGCCAUCAAACACAGUAGAGGCUGGAGGAGUUGCCCGUCCCUUCUGCAAGCUCAGGUUUUAAAGGCAAAACCCUUAACGGACACAACAGACCCAGCAGUGGGGACACUGUGGUCCCUUGGGCAGCCUCAGGCAGGAAGUGACACUCGGGCUUCUGAUGGCACAGACACCUAA
Onychomys torridus (southern grasshopper mouse) is the source of this 615-nucleotide non-coding RNA. NCBI's taxonomy places the organism in Eukaryota, Metazoa, Chordata, Mammalia, Rodentia, Cricetidae. The record is from the annotation of a RefSeq genome assembly.